Ylistrum balloti is the source of this 66-nucleotide non-coding RNA. NCBI's taxonomy places the organism in Eukaryota, Metazoa, Mollusca, Bivalvia, Pectinida, Pectinidae. The record is from the annotation of a RefSeq genome assembly.
GUCGGGGUAGUAUAAGUAGUGCGGCCGUUUUUCGAGCGGUUAGUGGUUUUAACUAACCCCCCGAUU